GCCUCCCGUUCGUUCCUGUGGCUUCUGGAGUCUUCUAGAUGGUAGAAAAUUGCGCGGCACGUUAAUAUCUCUAUGUAAUCCCGACGUGUGGGCCUUUCUUCCUUAUUUCCUGAUAACCCCCUGCAGAAAUAGACAAACACCAAAACUCGUGGAAUUCUGUGUGAUAAAACCCUAAGUCUCGACGUUGAUUUCAUUUGGAUCCUUUUCU
Molecule: long non-coding RNA, 208 nt
Filed under: Sorghum bicolor (sorghum)
Lineage: Eukaryota; Viridiplantae; Streptophyta; Magnoliopsida; Poales; Poaceae
Description: long non-coding RNA (SBIC_LNC014417)
Source: RNAcentral